This 425-nucleotide ribosomal RNA is filed under the name uncultured archaeon. Its description in RNAcentral is "partial 16S ribosomal RNA". It matches the Rfam family "Archaeal small subunit ribosomal RNA", at positions 323 to 746 of the family's 1478-position model. The record is from RNAcentral.
CUACGGGAGGCACCAGGCGAGAAAAUUCUGCAAUGCACGAAAGUGUGACAGAGCAAGCCAAAGUGCUUUUCCGUAUUAGGAAAAGCUUUUGUGAGAUGUAAAAAGUCUCACGAAUAAGGACUGGGCAAGACUGGUGCCAGCCGCCGCGGUAAUACCAGCGGUCCAAGUUGCAGCCAUGUUUAUUGGGUCUAAAACAUCCGUAGCUUGCCGAGUAAGUCUUUUGUGAAAUCUGGCAUCUCAAGUGUCAGGCCUGCAUAAGAUACUACUUGGCUAGAGACCGGGAGACGUAAGGAGUACGAUUAGGGUAGCGGUAAAAUGCGUUGAUCCUUAUUGGACUAACAAUAGCGAAGGCAUCUUACGAGAACGGAUCUGACUGUGAGGGAUGAAGGCUAGGGUCGCAAAACGGAUUAGAUACCCGGGUAGUC